RNAcentral lists this long non-coding RNA (645 nucleotides) under Pongo abelii (Sumatran orangutan). RNAcentral describes it as "lincRNA". The record is from RNAcentral. Lineage: Eukaryota; Metazoa; Chordata; Mammalia; Primates; Hominidae.
AUACAGAAGCAUUUAAUGCAAGAGAUAAGCUAACAGACCAGCUAAGAAAAUGAAAUUAUGAUUUAAAUAUGCUGGUCAUUUCCCUGUCAUUUUACUGCUUCAAAUUCAUCCUUUAAUUACAUAUGCCAUCACUCUGAUGCUAUGGCUGACACUAUACAAACCAUAUUUUUGUUUGUUUGUUUCAUUUUAACUAGCGGUAAAUCAUUAGAUUUACAUUAGAUUUACAUUAGAUUAGUUUUAACUAGCUGUAAAUAAUUAGAUUUAGGCAAUAGAAGGCAGAGAGGAGACUGAAAAGAAGGCAAAGGCAAGAAGGGAUGUUCUCUUGUUUUGUGCUCUGAUUCUGGUGAGGUUCCCUAUGAGAAGCAACCUUUCAGCCCAGCGGCAGCCAUUUGCUAAAGCAUUGUCAUUUGGUUUCAGCCUCUAGCAUCUUCCAGAACCAACUUCCCUUUGUGGCUAGCAUGAAAUAUACUGGUAUAAAGUGCUCUAAAAAUAUAGAAACUGAGAGAAUAAGAAAUAUGAAAAAGAAAUGGAGAAAUGCGAGAGAGAAGACCAUUUACUCUGAGAUAUUAGACUUCCUCGGGAUGAAGGAGGAGGAGAACUUUGGAUCUGACAGGUGAUUCAAGUCUAAAAAUUGACUGAACUAAA